CGCCAACAGCACCGAUGCCGAGUAGAAGUGGAACAGCGUCUGAUCCUCAAACCACGCCUUCAGCUCCAUCAGCUGCGCCAGCACCCCAUCAGAUCCCCCAUACACCGCCGACACAAGCUCGCAGUCCGCAACCUCCGGAUCCGCGGAAACGAACUGCCGGAGGACACGACGGACAUCAGGCGUGGUGAAUUUUCUGACGGCAUCCCGAUCUGGGCGGUAGAAAUCGUUGAAUUGUCGGAUCUGGAGGCCGGAGACGCGGAAUCCGAGGGUUAGGCUGGUGGAUUCGCGGUCCUUGGCGAGGCAUUUCUGGAUGUAGUCUUCGGGGGAGGAGGGGGGCCAGGUGUGGGCGCCGAUCUUGAGG
This 361-nucleotide unclassified non-coding RNA is filed under the name Hevea brasiliensis (rubber tree). Lineage: Eukaryota; Viridiplantae; Streptophyta; Magnoliopsida; Malpighiales; Euphorbiaceae. The record is from RNAcentral.